Molecule: ribosomal RNA, 439 nt
Filed under: Microascaceae sp.
Lineage: Eukaryota; Fungi; Ascomycota; Sordariomycetes; Microascales; Microascaceae
Description: SSU rRNA
Rfam family: Eukaryotic small subunit ribosomal RNA
Source: RNAcentral
CCAUGAGGCUUCACUGUGUGUGUGCGGGGGAAACAGGACUUUUACUGUGAAAAAAUUAGAGUGCUCCAGGCAGGCCUAUGCUCGAAUACAUUAGCAUGGAAUAAUAGAAUAGGACGCGUGGUUCUAUUUUGUUGGUUUCUAGGACCGCCGUAAUGAUUAAUAGGGACAGUCGGGGGCAUCAGUAUUCAAUUGUCAGAGGUGAAAUUCUUGGAUCUAUUGAAGACUAACUACUGCGAAAGCAUUUGCCAAGGAUGUUUUCAUUGAUAAGGAACGAAAGUUAGGGGAUCGAAGACGAUCAGAUACCGUCGUAGUCUUAACUAUAAACUAUGCCGACUAGGGAUCGGACGAUGUUAUUUCUUGACGCGUUCGGCACCUUUCGAGAAAUCAAAGUGCUUGGGCUCCAGGGGGAGUAUGGUCGCAAGGCUGAAACUUAAAGAAA